CAAUCUCAAAAUGAUUCUCAGUACCCUUUGGAAAAUCAAUUAGGGCUCGUUCUAAACUGAAAAUCAAAUAAGAAAAUAUUUAAUUAUAAGUAUUAAAAAAGAAUGGAAAAAAAAAUAUUCAAAACUAUUUGGACAUAUAUGUGAAUCUGGGAGGCCAUAUUUACAUCUUUGGAUGUAGAUUAAACUAAAACAGUGUGCAUCCCAAAAAAAUUAUAAUUAUUGCAAAAAACACACAUGCAUAAAUUAGUUUCAACUCCAUAUGUAAACGCCCAAUUCACGUUUAGAAGACACGCAUACAUAACUGUAUUGAAAAAAAAUAAAAAUAAAAAGUCAAAUACAAGAAUAAUAGUCCAUCUUUUCAUUAAAUGAAAUUGGAAACAAUAAUUUGAAACUUGAUAAAACUAAAAUAUAUUAAAAGUCAACAAAGCCCCCAAAACUAAGAAGACACUCAUAAAUCGAAAAUACCCAUUCACAAACAAGAACACAUCAUGAAAAAGAACAAAAAUAACUCAACGACAAGAAGAUAGAUAGCAAUCGAGACAAAGCCUGUUCGAAACUAACAAAAUACAAAUCUUGCGAAGGAAAAAAAGAAGAAGCUAGAGUAGAUCAUUGUUUCGUUACAGAAGAGUGAAAAAAAUUUAUUUGAAACCAAAUAAAACCAAAUAAAUUAUAAAUCAAUAAAACAUCGAAUAAUAAAAAACACACAUAAAUUGAAAACACCUCUUCACAAACAAGAAGAACAUAUCACGAAAAAGAACGAGAAAAACUCAACAAGAAGAAGAAAUAUCGCAAUCGAGAUUGAGCCCAUUGAUAGCAUACAAAGCAUAGAUCUUACCGUAUACGUUGUCGAUUGCUUUCGUAGAAAUCUCAAUCAUGUUGACGUCGUUCAAAAUACACCAUCAGUCCAACGAAAACAUUCGAGCAAGAAAACAAAAAUCGAUUUAUGCACUAGCAUAAAAAAAGGAUUGUGCAUCAGAAGAGAAUUGCAGAAAUUCU
RNAcentral lists this long non-coding RNA (996 nucleotides) under Olea europaea (common olive). Its description in RNAcentral is "long non-coding RNA (OEUR_LNC006976)". Lineage: Eukaryota; Viridiplantae; Streptophyta; Magnoliopsida; Lamiales; Oleaceae. The record is from RNAcentral.